RNAcentral lists this ribosomal RNA (460 nucleotides) under uncultured bacterium. RNAcentral describes it as "partial 16S ribosomal RNA". It matches the Rfam family "Bacterial small subunit ribosomal RNA", at positions 338 to 795 of the family's 1533-position model. The record is from RNAcentral.
CCUACGGGAGGCAGCAGUGAGGAAUAUUGGUCAAUGGCCGGAAGGCUGAACCAGCCAUGCCGCGUGAAGGUCAGUGCCCUAUGGGCGUUAAACUUCUUUUGUGCGGGAGCAAUAAUGGUCACGUGUGGCCAGACGAGAGUACCGUACGAAUAAGCAUCGGCUAACUCCGUGCCAGCAGCCGCGGUAAUACGGGGGAUGCAAGCGUUAUCCAGAUUUAUUGGGUUUAAAGGGUGCGUAGGCUGUGAGGUAAGUCAGCGGUGAAAUGCCCCCGCUCAACGGGGUGAAGUGCCAUUGAUACUGCCUGGCUGGAAUGCGGAUGCCGUGGGAGGAAUGUGUGGUGUAGCGGUGAAAUGCAUAGAUAUCACACAGAACACCGAUUGCGAAGGCAUCUCACGAAUCCGCGAUUGACGCUGAUGCACGAAAGCGUGGGUAUCAAACAGGAUUAGAUACCCUAGUAGUC